UUAAUUGACUGUAUUUGGUUUCAUGUCAUUUUGAAGAACAAAUCGCUGACUAUAUUCGAAAAUGUUGUAUAAGUGGCUUGCGUAAUGCUCGUACCACAAGUGUAUGCGAUAGAAUGGAUUCAACUAUAGUAAAUAUAUCUAAACUUUGGCUUGGAUUGUGCUCCUCGACAUUUGACGUAUGCUGUUCAAAAGAGUUGGACCGUCAGAAUUGUGAGCUCGGUCGUUUGGCUGCAUUGGAGGGUGCUUCGUGCAAUAAAGGCUUUAAUUUGACGUCAACCUCGUAUACAAAUUGCUGCCGAGCCUGUCAAGUUGGUUUAGCUGUUAAGGCUAGUCAACAAAAAUGUACGGAUCCAUUGUUUUCGUUUCUUUUGAAUAUCGAUUCAUAUCGGUUAUGCUGCUCUGAUGACGGCUUCUCAAAUUCUGAGUUGGAGUCGGAGUCGUUGUUGGAGGG
Drosophila arizonae is the source of this 451-nucleotide long non-coding RNA. Lineage: Eukaryota; Metazoa; Arthropoda; Insecta; Diptera; Drosophilidae. The record is from RefSeq and is a predicted model, not a curated record.